ACGGCGAGUGAGCGGGAAGAGCUCAAAUUUGAAAUCUUCAAGGUUCUACCUUGACGAAUUGUAGUUUAAAGAAGUGUUUUCUGUUGGAGUUUUGGUAAAAGUUCUUUGGAAUAGGACAUCAUAGAGGGUGAGAAUCCCGUAUUUGACCAUUAUUUCCAACUUUGUGAUACACUUUCAAAGAGUCGGAUUGUUUGGGAAUGCAGUCCAAAAUGGGUGGUAAAUUUCAUCUAAAGCUAAAUACUGGCGAGAGACCGAUAGCGAACAAGUACCGUGAGGGAAAGAUGAAAAGAACUUUGAAAAGAGAGUUAAACAGUACGUGAAAUUGUCAAAAGGGAAGCGUUUGACACCAGUGUUGUUUUCUCGAAAAUCAAUUAAAAAUGGUGGGAUUUUGUGUUGUAUUGACUUUAUCAGCUUUCUGCACUUUUUUCCUGUCUUUUUUAAUGCACUUUUCGUUUAACAAGUCAACAUCAAUUUCUUUUGUUGUAAAAGGGUCAUUGGAAGGUGGCUUUCUUUUCGGAGAAAGUGUUUAUAGCCUUUGGCCUCUGCAAUCGGAGAGAUUGAGGUCUGCAGCGUAGAUCCUUCGGGGUUAGAUACAUUUGUGCUAAGCUAUAGCCUUUCAUAGACAACUUGUUGACUAUGAUCAGUCAUGUAGCUUACUCGCUUAUGCUAUUUUACCUACGCUUAGGAUGUUGACAAAAUGGUUUUAAACGACCCGUCUUGA
RNAcentral lists this ribosomal RNA (721 nucleotides) under Cyllamyces sp. BFK364. Its description in RNAcentral is "LSU rRNA". It matches the Rfam family "Eukaryotic large subunit ribosomal RNA", at positions 86 to 657 of the family's 3401-position model. The record is from RNAcentral. Lineage: Eukaryota; Fungi; Neocallimastigomycota; Neocallimastigomycetes; Neocallimastigales; Neocallimastigaceae.